This 90-nucleotide ribosomal RNA is filed under the name Ailuropoda melanoleuca (giant panda). Lineage: Eukaryota; Metazoa; Chordata; Mammalia; Carnivora; Ursidae. The record is from RNAcentral.
GUCUACAGCCAUACCACCCUGAACACGCACUAUCUCGUCUGAUCUCGGAAGCUAAGCAGGGUUGGGCCUGGUUAGUACUUGGAUGGGAGA